GACGAACGCUGGCGGCGUGCUUAACACAUGCAAGUCGAACGGAAAGGCCCUGCUUUUGUGGGGUGCUCGAGUGGCGAACGGGUGAGUAACACGUGAGUAACCUGCCCUUGACUUUGGGAUAACUUCAGGAAACUGGGGCUAAUACCCGAUAGGAGCUCCUGCUGCAUGGUGGGGGUUGGAAAGUUUCGGCGGUUGGGGAUGUACUCGCGGCUUAUCAGCUUGUUGGUGGGGUAGUGGCUUACCAAGGCUUUGACGGGUAGCCGGCCUGAGAGGGUGAACGGCCACAUUGGGACUGAGAUACGGCCCAGACUCCUACGGGAGGCAGCAGUGGGGAAUAUUGCACAAUGGGCGGAAGCCUGAUGCAGCAACGCCGCGUGCGGGAUGACGGCCUUCGGGUUGUAAACCGCUUUCGCCUGUGACGAAGCGCGAGUGACGGUAAUGGGUAAAGAAGCACCGGCUAACUACGUG
RNAcentral lists this ribosomal RNA (468 nucleotides) under uncultured bacterium. RNAcentral's name for it is "partial 16S ribosomal RNA". It matches the Rfam family "Bacterial small subunit ribosomal RNA", at positions 28 to 507 of the family's 1533-position model. The record is from RNAcentral.